This 167-nucleotide unclassified non-coding RNA is filed under the name soil metagenome. RNAcentral's name for it is "partial contains 5.8S ribosomal RNA, internal transcribed spacer 2, and large subunit ribosomal RNA". The record is from RNAcentral.
AACGGUCUAUACCUGCGGUACCUGCGGAGGGAUCAUUAGUGAACGCCCUCACGGGCUUAUAACUAUUCCAAACCUCUGUGAACCGUGCCCUUCGGGGCUAUUUUACAAACAUGGUGUAAUGAACGUCAUAUAUCAUAACAAAACAAAACUUUCAGCAAUGGAUCUCU